Molecule: long non-coding RNA, 3370 nt
Filed under: Homo sapiens (human)
Lineage: Eukaryota; Metazoa; Chordata; Mammalia; Primates; Hominidae
Description: HSALNT0107730
Source: RNAcentral
UGCAUUCGACUCACAGAGUGGAACAUUCCCUUUGAUAGAGCAGUUUUGAGACACCGUUUUUGUAGAAUUCCCAAGUGGAUAUUUAGAGCACUUUGAAGUCUCUGCUAGAAAAGGAAACAUCUUCAUGUAAAAAGUAGAUAGAAUCGUUCUCAGAAAGUGCUUAGUGACGUGUGCGUUCAACUCACAGAGUGUAACGUUUCUUUUGAUAGAGCGUUUCUGAAACACCCUUCUUGUAGUAGCUGCAAGUGGAUAUUUGGACCUAUUGGAGGCCUUCUUUGGAAACGGGAUUUCUUCAUGUAACUCUAGAUUGAAGAAUUCUCAGAAACUCCUUUGUGAUGUGUGCAUUCAAUUCAAAGAGUGAAACCUCCCUUUUCACAGAGCAGUUUGGAAACACUGUUUUUGUAGGAUUUCCAAGGGGAUAUUUAUAGCGCAUUGAGCCUACGGCAGAAAAAGAAACAUCUUCCUAUAAAAACUAGACAGAAUAAUUCUCAGAAUCUGCUUUGUGAUGUGUGCGUUCAACUCAUAGAGUAAAACUUUUCUUUUGAUAGAGCAGUUUUGAAACACUCUUUUUGUAAUAUUUGCAUGUGUAUAUUUAGAGCGCAUUGAAGCCCACAGUAGAAAAGGAAAUAACUUCACCUAAAACCUAGACAGAAGCAAUCUCAGAAACUACUUUGUGAUGUGUACAUUCAACUCACAGAGUGGAACUUUCCUCUUUAUAGAGCAGUGUUGAAACACUCUUUUUGUAGAAACUGCAGGUGGAUAUUUGGACCUCUUUGAGGCCCUCGUUGGAAACGGGAUUUCUUCCUAUAACCCUAGACAGAAGAAUUUUCAGAAACCUCAUUGUGAUGUGUGCGUUCAUCUCACAGAGUGGAGUCUUCCGUUUGAUAGAGAAGUUUUGAAACCCUGUUCUUGUAGGAUUUCCAAGUGGAUAUUUAGACCACUUUGAAGCCUAUGAUAGAAAAGGAAACAUCUUCAUGGAAAACAUAGAUAGAAUCAUUCUCAGAAACAACUUUGUGAUGUGUGCGUUGAACUCACCGUCUUUAAACUUUCUUUUGGUAGAGAAGUUUUGAAACACUCUCUUUGUAAAGUCUACAAGUGGAUAUUUUGAGCCCUUGGAGGCAUUCUUUGGAAAAGGGAAUGUCUUCACGUAAAAGGCAGACAGAAGUGUUCUCAGAAACUGCUUUGUGAUGUCUGUGUUCAACUCACAGAGUUUAACAUUUCCUUUGAUAGAGCAGUUUAGUAACACUGUCUUUGUAGAAUUUGGAAGUGUAUACUAAGAGCGCUUUGAGUUCUAUGGUAGAAAAGGAAAUAUCUUUGCAUAAAAGCUAGACAGAAGCAAUCUCAGAAACUCCUUUGUGAUGUCUGCAUUCAACUCACCGAGUGGAACAUUCCUCUUGAUAGAGCAGUUUGGAAACGCUCUUUCUGUAGAAUCAGCUUGUUUGUAUUUGGACCACCUUGAGGCCUUCGUUGGAAACGGGUUUUCAUCUUAUAAACCCAGACAGAAGAAUUCUCAGAGUCUUCUUUGUGAUGUGUGCUUUCAACUCACCGAGAUAAAGAUUUCUCUUGAUAGAGCAAUUUGGAAACACUCUUUUUGUAGAAUUUGCAAGGGUACCCUGAGAGUGCUUUCAGGCCUAUGGUAGAAAAGGGAAUAUCUUUCCAUAAAAGGUAGACAGAAGCAAUCUCAGAAACUGCUUUGUGAUGUGUGCAUUCAACUCACCGAGUGCAACAUUCCUCUUGAUAGAGCAGUUUGGAAACAUUGUUUCUGUAGAAUCUGCAAGUGGAUAUUUGGACCUCUUUGAGGCCUUCGUUGGAAACGGGAUUUCUUCCUAUAAACCCAGACAGAAGAAUUCUCAGAGACUUCUUUGUGAUGUGUGAAUUCAACUCACAGUGUGGAUCCUUCCUUUUGAUAGAGCAGUUUUGAAACACUGUUUUUGUAGUAUUUCCAAGCGGAUAUUUGGAACGCCUUGAAGCGUAUGGUAGAAAAGGAAAUAUCUUCUCAUAAAACCUAGACAGAACCAAUCUCAGAAACGACUUUGUGAUGUCUGCAUUCAACUCACAGAGUUGAACAUUUCUCUUGAUAGAGCAGUUUUGAAACCCUCUUUCUGAAGGAUCUGCAAGUGGAUAUUUGGACCUCCUUUGGGUCUUCGUUGGAAACGGGAUUUCUUCGUAUAAAUCUAGACAGAAGAAUUCUCCGAAAUUUCUUUGGUUGUGUGCACUCAAGUCACAGAGUGGAACCUUCCUUUGGAUAGAGCAGUUUGAAACGCUGUGGUUGUAGUAUUUCCAAGCGGAUAUUAGAGCGCCUUGAAGCCUAUGGUAGAAAAGGAAAUAUCUUCCCAUAAAACCUAGACGGAAGCAAUCUCAGAAACUACUGUGUGAUGGCUGCAUUCCACACACACGGUGGAACAUUUCUCUUGAUAGAGCAGUUUUGAAACACUCUUUCUGUAGAAUCUGCAAGUGGAUAAUUGGACCGCCUUGAGGCCUUCGUUGGAAACGGGAUUUCUUCAUGUUACUCUAGAUAGAAGAAUUCUCAAACACUACUAUGUGAUGUUUGCAUUCAAGUCACAGAGUGCAACAUUCCUCUUGACAGAGCAGUUGGGAAACACUCCUUUUGUAGAAUUUGCAAUGGGAUAUUUGGACUUCUUUGAGGCCUUCGUUGGAAACGGGAUUUCUUCGUAUAAAUCUAGACAGAAGAAUUCUCAGAAACUUCUUUGUGAUGUGUGCAUUCAACUCAGCGAGUGGCACCUUCCUUUGGAUACAGCAGUUUUGAAACACUGUUUUUGUAGUAUUUCCAAGCAGAUAUUUAGAGCGCCUUGAAGCCUAUGCUAGAAAUGGAAAUAUCUCCCCAUAAAACCAAGAGAGUAGCAAUCUCAGAAACUAAUGUGUGAUGGCUGCAUUCCACACACACGGUGGACCAUUUCUCUUGAUAGAGCAGUUUUGAAACACUCUUUCUGUAGAAUCUGCAAGUGGAUAAUUGGACCUCCUAGAGGUCUUCAUUGGAAACGGGAUUUCUCCAUCUAAACCUACAGAGAAGAAUUCUCAGUAACUUCUUCGGAUGUGUGCACUCGACUCACAGAAUGGAACAUUUCCUUUGAUAGAGCAGUUUUGAAACACCGUUUUUGUAGAAUUCCCAAGUGGAUAUUUAGAGCACUUUGAAGUCUCUGCCAGAAAAGGAAACAUCUUCAUGUAAAAAGUAGAUAGAAUCAUUCUCAGAAAGUGCUGAGUGAUGUGUGCGUUCAACUCACAGAGUGUAACGUUUCUUUUGAUAGAGCGUUUCUGAAACACCCUUCUUGUAGUAGCUGCAAGUGGAUAUUUGGACCUAUUGGAGGCCUUCUUUGGAAACGGGAUUUCUUCAUGUAACUCUAGAUUGAAG